AACGUAGGAGGCGAGCGUUAUCCGGAUUUACUGGGCGUAAAGCGCACGCAGGUGGCCGUGCAGGUCGGACAUGAAAGCUCCUGGCUUAACUGGGAGAGGUGGUUCGAAACCGCACAGCUUGAGGUUGGGAGAGGGACGUGGAAUUCCCGGUGUAGUGGUGGAAUGCGUAGAUAUCGGGAGGAACACCAGUGGCGCAAGCGGCGUCCUGGCCCACACCUGACGCUGAGGUGCGAAAGCGUGGGGAGCAAACAGG
This 253-nucleotide ribosomal RNA is filed under the name uncultured bacterium. RNAcentral's name for it is "partial 16S ribosomal RNA". It matches the Rfam family "Bacterial small subunit ribosomal RNA", at positions 524 to 776 of the family's 1533-position model. The record is from RNAcentral.